Antechinus flavipes (yellow-footed antechinus) is the source of this 3499-nucleotide long non-coding RNA. RefSeq lists it as uncharacterized. Lineage: Eukaryota; Metazoa; Chordata; Mammalia; Dasyuromorphia; Dasyuridae. The record is from RefSeq and is a predicted model, not a curated record. The transcript has 2 exons.
GGAGGAGCCGAGGCGAAAGCGCAAAUCCAGGACUGCGAGAAGAGGCGGAGAGACGGAGCAAUUGACUAUUGCUAACAAGUUAUCGUUGAUUGGGAGGAGGCGCCUAGGGAAGGACGCAUGGAAGUCAGACCUCAGGAGGCCCUUCUGGAAAUGUAAUGGGGAGACCUGGAGCCAGGAAGGCAGGGGCGACUCUUCCCCAGAGAGAGUGAUGGGUGGAUAACCCAAAUUGCCGACGGUCUAUGUUCCUAACCUACAGAAGGGGAGGAUAUUGAGAGAAAAAUCCACCAAGGAUCUCUCCAGAAAAGAGGCAAUCCUGACUCCCUGGCUCCAUCACGGAACCCUUGGGAACACUUCUGAUGUGGAUGUGUCUGUCCAUGUGCCAUUUUACCCGAUCUGGAAGAACUUUACAAAUCCUCGUCCGAGAAGAUGAGAACAUUAGACCUUCUCGGAGGCAGGGGCUUGGUUCAAAUGACCUCUUUCGAGGUUCUUUCAUUAGGGAAUUGCGGAUGCUGGAAAUGAGUGCCAAUGACAGAGCUUAUACUUCCAUCCUUGCACUUAGUAGGCUUUUAAUAAAUGUUUGUCAAAUUAAAUUAAUGCCAAACUAUAGGUGUCUUUGCCAGGCUAAGGCUAAACUGGGCCUUAGGGGAUGAUCGCGUGUACCGAGUCCAGAGUAAGGGUUGGGGAGGGGCUAGAGUCUGGACUGGGUUCCUACUGCCCCUCCCCCGAGACCCCGAGCCUUUCCAGGGCUCCAACCACUUAGUCCCUGCACGGCCCGCCCCGCUCUCCACCAGCCCCAUUACGCUGUAUUUAUGCUUCGCUUUAUUGUUUUUUUUUUAUCUUCCUAUUAUUGUCUCACUCUGGGGGAGGCAAAGGAUAUAAUAUAUUCAUCUUUAUUAUCCCAAAUCUGUGUGAGGCAUUUAAUAAAACGCUGUUUCCGCACAGCCGGGGAUAUUAGCGAUAGCUAUUCCGGAACGACCGCGCCUAGGAACCACGAGGCAGACCAACCGACGGCUGCUGGCAUGGCCCGGAGACUCCUCGAGACAGCCUCGCCAGGAGAUCCAGGAACUCCCUUAGCUGGCCUACGCCUUUCUUCCAGUAGUCCGCUAGUCCCAGAGGACUGUGGGCGGAAGAGCGAGAUCCGGCAAGGGUCCCUAGCCUAUCCUAACCGGACACGUUCUCCGAAUUUGCUCGUCUGGGAUACCUCUAGACUCAGUGCUGACCAUGAGUUUCCCGGGGAGCCUAGAACUUCAAGCCCUAGAGCACAGAAUCUUGGGGGCGGUUGGGAGGGGGGCAAAGGUCUUACUGGCUAAAAUGGGGUUCUUCCCCAGUAUCGGCUCAGUGACUUAAGGUUCUGCUGCUUACCCAGGAGCCUUUUAUCCCUGCUCCUAAGUAAACGUUGUUGGCUUUUGUUUGUUUGUUUUUAGUUUUGGCUCCCAGGUAUCCUAAAGGGUCGCGAGAGCAUUUGGGUUUGAGCUUGAUCCUCAAGUCAGAACAUCCUGCUCUUUCCCCACUUUUCCUUCAAGGCGUUAGCGGACCCGGACCGAUGCCAGCCCGAGAAACCUGCUUUGUUAUUAUCCCUUACAUUGCAGAGCUAGCUCAUCCCCUGUCUCACAGUCAGUCCUCUCCAUUCAUCUGUCAGUCAUCCAGUCCAAUCCUCUUACGAGCAUCGGCCCUAUACUUUAUUUACAUAAGCUCACCAAAGGUUUAAGAAAAAGGAUCUUUUUUACUCACCUAGGUCUUGUGAGUCCUCAGCAUUCUCCUUUGAGGUUAUAGACAUGAUACUUCAGGGAAAAACUGUAUAUAAUUGCUUUAUGGAUCAUAAUUGUUUUUAUGAUAAAACAAACCCCAAGGAAGGGCAGAUGUGACUUGCCCUUCUCAGUGAUGUUCUUUCAAUUAGAGACAGAAGACAUCUAUUAAUUACCUACUAGUAUAAACCAGAGGCAGCCAGGGGAUAGAAGAUAGAAGAUUCAUUUUGAAGCCAAGGUGGCCUUCCUCCUACAUAAAUAUACUAGCUAUCUGCCUAUGGGCAAGCCAUUUAAUCCUCAGGCAACCUUUUAAGACUAUAAAGUCACAGAUAAGUUGUAGAUCUGCAUCAGUGAAAUGAGUUUAUACGCUGGGAAUUCCCCCAAAUUGGAAAAAAAAAUUCCCUAUUCCGCCAAAGCAAAACACCAUAUUUGUGUAAAGUAGUGUGGAAUAGAUUUUUUUUUUAAUAGUCCCCAUCUCCAGUGGAGCUCAAGAUCUAGUAGGGAGGGAUAAAAAAUUCAAUUGGACUGUAUGGGUAAACAACGUUUAAAUGAUUAUCUCUUGCUAGACAUUGUGCUAAAUUCUAGGGAUAGAAUUUAAAAGACAAAACCAAUCUCUAUCUUUAAGGAACUUGCAUUCUAAAUGGAUAAGCAACUUGUAUAUAAGUAGAAGUAUACCGUUGGAAAAUAAUGUUAGAGAAGAAAACAUUAGCAGCUGGGGGAAUCAGGAAGGAAAGACUUUUCUGCAGAAAUAUGCAAUAAUUAUACAAAAAUAAGCUGCAAAAUAGAAUAUGAUAAUAGUCUUACAAAGUCCUCUGAGAUUUGAGGAGAAUAGAUCAUUUCUGAUAGAGAUGUAUCAGGGCUUCAUAAAGGAGGUAACAUUUAAGAUAGUUCUGUGAAGGAUAGGUAAAGGAAUUUAAUAGAAACAGAGAUGGGGAAGGAAAGAGCAUUCCAGGUACAGAGAAGCAAACUGAAUAAAAGCAUUGGGAUGGUGGAGAGGAAAGUAGGACCUAUAGCAUUAUUAGUUAGUAGUCCACUUCAUCUGGAGAUUUACCUUGUUUGUCAAUAAACUAAAAUGCUUAAUCUUCCUCUCCCCCAAUUCCUGUAACACUGAAAGGAGAAGCUGAAUUCUCUUAGAUUCUAGAUUAAAGGCUAAAGGAGAGGAGAUCAAGAAGCAAUCUACUAGGGCCCUGGAGAGUCAAGUGAAAGUAGGAUAGGCUUUGGGGCUUCAUUCAGUACACUGAAAUGCCUAAGGUUAAAACUAAAUACUUGAUUGGCUCAACAUUCUCAUAGCCUUUUCCCGUUCCUCCUGAGCUCUCUCUUCCUUCUUCUCUUUUCUCACUUCCCCCAACCUGAAGGAGUCCCUCAUUUUAAUACUGGAGUCAUUCUCUGUAUUAAUUUUUUUUUAUUUUCUCAGUGAGACUCAAGGAAUGAUUGAUAACUUCACAUGUGUGAAAAGACUGUUAUCUAGAAGAAAUAAUCACCAUUCUGUGUGGGUCUCCAGGGAAGCCUAGUGGAUUUAAGUUACAAAGAGACAUAUUUUGAUUUAGUAUAAGGAAAGACUUCCUAAGAACCCAAAAGCUACCCAACAAUGGAAAGAGUUAGAAAGUAUUAAUAAGCUUUCUGCCAUUGGAAUUAUUCCAUCUCAGGGAAUACUACUUUAUCAGAGAUGUUGUAGGGGAAAUUCUGAAAUUCUAUCAUUUUAUACGACAAGGAUCAUCUCAGAUACUAUUAAACCUUUCAUUCAUUAUAUCAUA